Molecule: non-coding RNA, 106 nt
Filed under: Methyloceanibacter methanicus
Lineage: Bacteria; Pseudomonadati; Pseudomonadota; Alphaproteobacteria; Hyphomicrobiales; Hyphomicrobiaceae
Description: TPP sequence
Rfam family: TPP riboswitch aptamer (THI element)
About the family: Vitamin B(1) in its active form thiamin pyrophosphate (TPP) is an essential coenzyme that is synthesised by coupling of pyrimidine and thiazole moieties in bacteria. The previously detected thiamin-regulatory element, thi box was extended, resulting in a new, highly conserved RNA secondary structure, the THI element, which is widely distributed in eubacteria and also occurs in some archaea. Analysis of operon structures identified a large number of new candidate thiamin-regulated genes, mostly transporters, in various prokaryotic organisms.
Source: Rfam by way of RNAcentral
CCCCCUUCCGAGGGGAGCCCUUCAGGGGCUGAGAGUUCGCGACAUGCGGAGACCCUAGAACCUGAUCCGGCUCGUACCGGCGAAGGGACAGGAGACAAAGCAAUGC